GUGCUCGCUUCGGCAGCACAUAUACUAAGAUUGGGGAUGAUACAGAGAAGACUAGCAUGGCCCCUGUGUGAGGAUGACACGCAAAUUCGUGAAGCGUUCCAUAUUUUA
RNAcentral lists this small nuclear RNA (108 nucleotides) under Sorex araneus (European shrew). The record is from RNAcentral. Lineage: Eukaryota; Metazoa; Chordata; Mammalia; Eulipotyphla; Soricidae.